Molecule: ribosomal RNA, 118 nt
Filed under: Jaculus jaculus (lesser Egyptian jerboa)
Lineage: Eukaryota; Metazoa; Chordata; Mammalia; Rodentia; Dipodidae
Source: RNAcentral
GUCCAUGGCCACUCCACCCUGAAUGCACCCCCAUCUCGUCUAAUCUCAGAAACUAAGCAGGGUAGAGCUGGCUAGCACUUGGAUGGGAAAAUUACUUAAUGGCCUGUUAAUAAGGAUU